RNAcentral lists this ribosomal RNA (368 nucleotides) under uncultured organism. RNAcentral describes it as "bacterial SSU rRNA". It matches the Rfam family "Bacterial small subunit ribosomal RNA", at positions 526 to 896 of the family's 1533-position model. The record is from RNAcentral.
CGGAGGAUCCAAGCGUUAUCCGGAUUUAUUGGGUUUAAAGGGUGCGUAGGCGGCUUAUUAAGUCAGGGGUGAAAGACGGUGGCUCAACCAUCGCAGUGCCCUUGAUACUGAUGAGCUUGAAUACACUUGAGGUAGGCGGAAUGUGACAAGUAGCGGUGAAAUGCAUAGAUAUGUCACAGAACACCAAUUGCGAAGGCAGCUUACUAAGGUGCAAUUGACGCUGAGGCACGAAAGCGUGGGGAUCAAACAGGAUUAGAUACCCUGGUAGUCCACGCCCUAAACGAUGAAUACUCGAUGUUAGCGAUAUACAGUUAGCGUCUAAGCGAAAGCGUUAAGUAUUCCACCUGGGGAGUACGCCCGCAAGGGUG